GCUGGAUUCUUGCACCCCUUGCAAAUCUGCCAUCCCAAGCAACUGCUUGCUUUGCUGGUGCCUAGAGUCAGCCCUGCUCAUCAAAGGCAUACUGUUUUGUAAAAAAUACCGAAAGCUAAUGCUCUUCGAAUGUCUAGCGUGUGGAGGGAAGCCUCCCUCCCGUCAGCAUGUGGCUUCAGGAAAAUACAGGUACAUAUAUGCCCAGGGUUUUUAAGGUCGCCCUUGAGUCCUUUAAGGUGUGUAGAGAGACUUUGGUUUUGUCUGUGAAUAAUUUUUGCCCUUCAAAGGGUAAGUCCUCAACAGUUGCUUGGACUUCCCUUGGGAACCCAGAAAGGUGGAGCUAGGAUACACGGUGCACGACCACAGAUGUAUCGAUGGACCAUGCUGCCGUGUCUGCAGAGUCAAGAAAGGCCUGUACGGCCGUCCUGGUGAUGAGAGACUCUUCAGAAAUGUCAUCAGGUUUAUUUUUUGUCAUCAAGUUAACUUUCAAUAAAUUCUGACAUUUUUGCAAACAGAUUGUGCAUGUAUUUUGGUUGUGGGGCUGCGUAAU
Molecule: long non-coding RNA, 550 nt
Organism: Chrysemys picta bellii (western painted turtle)
Lineage: Eukaryota; Metazoa; Chordata; Testudines; Emydidae
Source: RefSeq, a predicted model, not a curated record